UGCCAGCCGCCGCGGUAAUACGGAGGGGGUUAGCGUUGUUCGGAAUUACUGGGCGUAAAGCGCACGUAGGCGGACUAUUAAGUCAGGGGUGAAAUCCCGGGGCUCAACCCCGGAACUGCCUUUGAUACUGGUAGUCUAGAGUUCGAGAGAGGUGAGUGGAAUUCCGAGUGUAGAGGUGAAAUUCGUAGAUAUUCGGAGGAACACCAGAGGCGAAGGCGACUCACUGGACCGGUACUGACGCUAAGGUGCGAAAGCGUGGGGAGCAAACAGGAUUAGAUA
Molecule: ribosomal RNA, 279 nt
Filed under: uncultured bacterium
Lineage: Bacteria
Description: partial 16S ribosomal RNA
Rfam family: Bacterial small subunit ribosomal RNA
Source: RNAcentral